GAUGAACGCUGGCGGCGUGCCUAAUACAUGCAAGUCGAGCGAACGGACGAGAAGCUUGCUUCUCUGAUGUUAGCGGCGGACGGGUGAGUAACACGUGGAUAACCUACCUAUAAGACUGGGAUAACUUCGGGAAACCGGAGCUAAUACCGGAUAAUAUUUUGAACCGCAUGGUUCAAAAGUGAAAGACGGUCUUGCUGUCACUUAUAGAUGGAUCCGCGCUGCAUUAGCUAGUUGGUAAGGUAACGGCUUACCAAGGCAACGAUGCAUAGCCGACCGGAGAGGGUGAUCGGCCACACUGGAACUGAAACACGGUCCAGACUCCUACGGGAAGCAGCAGUAGGGAAUCUUCCGCAAUGGGCGAAAGCCUGACGGAGCAACGCCGCGUGAGUGAUGAAGGUCUUCGGAUCGUAAAACUCUGUUAUUAGGGAAGAACAUAUGUGUAAGUAACUGUGCACAUCUUGACGGUACCUAAUCAGAAAGCCACGGCUAACUACGUG
This 497-nucleotide ribosomal RNA is filed under the name uncultured bacterium. Its description in RNAcentral is "partial 16S ribosomal RNA". It matches the Rfam family "Bacterial small subunit ribosomal RNA", at positions 28 to 507 of the family's 1533-position model. The record is from RNAcentral.